UGGGGAAUAUUGGACAAUGGGGGCAACCCUGAUCCAGCAAUGCCGCGUGUGUGAAGAAGGCCUUCGGGUUGUAAAGCACUUUAGUGUGGGAAGAAGAGUUGGAGUUUAAGAGAUGCCAACUUUGACGGUACCACAAGAAUAAGCACCGGCUAACUCUGUGCCAGCAGCCGCGGUAAUACAGAGGGUGCAAGCGUUAAUCGGAGUUACUGGGCGUAAAGGGCGCGUAGGUUGUUAUGUAAGUUAGUUGUGAAAUCCCCGGGCUUAACCUGGGAACUGCAACUGAUACUGCAAGACUAGAGUACUGUAGAGGGUAGUGGAAUUUCCGGUGUAGCGGUGAAAUGCGUAGAGAUCGGAAGGAACACCAGUGGCGAAGGCGGCUACCUGGACAGAGACUGACACUGAGGCGCGAGAGCGUGGGUAGCAAACAGG
This 429-nucleotide ribosomal RNA is filed under the name uncultured bacterium. Its description in RNAcentral is "bacterial SSU rRNA". It matches the Rfam family "Bacterial small subunit ribosomal RNA", at positions 355 to 776 of the family's 1533-position model. The record is from RNAcentral.